UUCCCAUCCCGAACACGGAAGUUAAGCUUUUCAGCGCCGAUGGUAGUAGGGGGCUUCCCCCUGUGAGAGUAGGUCGUUGCCGGGC
RNAcentral lists this ribosomal RNA (85 nucleotides) under Listeria grandensis. Lineage: Bacteria; Bacillati; Bacillota; Bacilli; Caryophanales; Listeriaceae. The record is from RNAcentral.